CGCUGGCGGCAUGCUUUACACAUGCAAGUCGAACGGCAGCGCGGGGGCAACCCUGGCGGCGAGUGGCGAACGGGUGAGUAAUAUAUCGGAACGUACCCAAGAGUGGGGGAUAACGUAGCGAAAGUUACGCUAAUACCGCAUACGAUCUAAGGAUGAAAGCAGGGGAUCGCAAGACCUUGUGCUCCUGGAGCGGCCGAUAUCUGAUUAGCUAGUUGAUGGGGUAAAGGCCCACCAAGGCAACGAUCAGUAGCUGGUCUGAGAGGACGACCAGCCACACUGGAACUGAGACACGGUCCAGACUCCUACGGGAGGCAGCAGUGGGGAAUUUUGGACAAUGGGGGCAACCCUGAUCCAGCAAUGCCGCGUGAGUGAAGAAGGCCUUCGGGUUGUAAAGCUCUUUUGUCAGGGAAGAAAAGGGAGUGGCUAAUAUCCAUUCCUGCUGACGGUACCUGAAGAAUAAGCACCGGCU
This 469-nucleotide ribosomal RNA is filed under the name uncultured bacterium. RNAcentral's name for it is "bacterial SSU rRNA". It matches the Rfam family "Bacterial small subunit ribosomal RNA", at positions 34 to 498 of the family's 1533-position model. The record is from RNAcentral.